Molecule: long non-coding RNA, 403 nt
Organism: Ochlerotatus camptorhynchus
Lineage: Eukaryota; Metazoa; Arthropoda; Insecta; Diptera; Culicidae
Exons: 3
Source: RefSeq, a predicted model, not a curated record
GAUCACGUGUGGUCCCCCUAACUGUGCUUAUGUGUGUCGAUGAACACCGAGAUGAACAUCUGUGGUGAGUUUCUACUACAUUGAUCCGUUAUCAGUUUAUCAUUCGGGUAUGAGGAUCUACGAAUGCAGAAUACGAUUUAGUCUACUCCGGUGAUCGCGCGCGUACUGAUCUCUAUUGCGGAUAGUGGAAUUGGUAAAGUGUUAAAUUAGAUGUGAUAGUUGCUGUAUGGCUGUUCGGUGCAUCUGGUGAAUUACCUUUGUUCUACCAGUUGGCCACCCGGUAAUGUUUAAACAAUUCUAGGAAUCAAAUCUAUUCGCGAUUGACUAAUUUAUUGAUCAGGCAAAUACAUCUAAAAACAGCGAAGACACAAACUGCGUUGCUGACAACGACGAUGCAUAUACA